GGGCAUCCUUGUUGGAUUUGACUGGGCAGCCUAGGUUCUGGGCGCCCCCUCCUAGGCGCUGAGCGUCCUGGACCCCCCAAGCCGCCUAGGACCCACCUAGCGCUUUUUGAAACACUGGCCAGAUGAAAUAAUCUCCAGCUUUAAUGCCUAAUUUUAUCACAAUUUGAAAAAUUGUAUAUGCAAGGAAAAGUCAUUCAAAGGGAAGAUAAUGAUUCGAAUAGAAAGAAUUGAGAGAAAAAUAAUAAACAAUUAGCAGGGGGGGUAGGUUAAUUCACCUUUCUGGCUGCAACAGCCACAUGUGCAUUCAUAUACAUAUCGAUGUACAUAUACGCUAAUAACUGUAAAAACUGAGAAAAAGUGUCUAUAUGCGCUAUCAAUGCGUAAGGGUGCAUAUACGAGACAAUAUAAGUGUGUAUGUUUGUGACUGUGUUUGUGUUUAUGUUUGUGAGUGUGAGUGUGAGUAUAAGUGUGUGUGUAGUAUAUAAAUUAGUGUACAUAUAUGUUAAUACAUGUAUAAAUCGAAAAUAAGUGUUUAUAUAGUCAUUUACAUCAAUGUAUAUAGAUCAAUGUACAUAUACGUUAAUACAUGUAUAAAUUAAAAAUAAGUGUAUAUAUGGCCAUUUACAUCAAUGUAUAUAGAUCAG
RNAcentral lists this long non-coding RNA (644 nucleotides) under Amborella trichopoda. RNAcentral describes it as "long non-coding RNA (ATRI_LNC004338)". Lineage: Eukaryota; Viridiplantae; Streptophyta; Magnoliopsida; Amborellales; Amborellaceae. The record is from RNAcentral.